GAAGAGUUUCAUAAACUGGAGACUGGAUGCUAUUUCUACUAUAAUUCACCCCAGGGGGCUGCUUUUUCCCAUCUCUCCUCCCUAGUAUUUUGCUAGCUAAUGCCAAAAAUGUUGACCCUCCACUCUGCCCUCAAAGAAACCCUCCUGCCAGGGCUGGUGGCUACAGCUUUCAGCCACACACACUCAGGAAUCAAAUUUUGCUGGUAAUAUUAAGGAAGGGCAUCCACAAUUGUCUGAAAAGGCUAUUAAAAACUGCUUCCUUUUUCAACUACAUAUCCGUGCCAGGCUGGACUUCCUUCAUGCGCCUCAACCACAGCAGCAUAUUGCGUGGGAUUGCAUGCAGAAGCAAAUGGGAGAUUCAACUCUCUUUCAUGCUCAUUCACUACAGAGAUUUGCAAAAAUGUAAAACAAUAGCGCUUGUAUCACUACAUUUUUUUCUUGUUUGCAAAAUGUAAUUAUUUUCAUAAAAAUGUGUAGUUUGUGUUUCUAUGUAGUAGGUUGAUUAUUUUUUAAAUGAAUUUUUUAAAAAUUUAUUUUUAAAAUGAAAAUUUUAUAAUCUUCUCAGGUUUGAUUUCCCAUAUAGUUAAUAUCAGUAGCUACCACCUGAAUAAUAGUAGACCUACUCCAAAGGGUUGUUGUGAG
This 642-nucleotide long non-coding RNA is filed under the name Equus caballus (horse). RNAcentral's name for it is "lncRNA (ENSECAG00000046231.1)". The record is from RNAcentral. Lineage: Eukaryota; Metazoa; Chordata; Mammalia; Perissodactyla; Equidae.